AGUGAACGCUGGCGGUAGGCCUAACACAUGCAAGUCGAACGGCAGCACAGGAGAGCUUGCUCUCUGGGUGGCGAGUAGCGGACGGGUGAGGAAUACAUCGGAAUCUACUCUGUCGUGGGGGAUAACGUAGGGAAACUUACGCUAAUACCGCAUACGACCUACGGGUGAAAGCAGGGGACCUUCGGGCCUUGCGCGAUUGAAUGAGCCGAUGUCGGAUAGCUAGUUGGCGGGGUAAAGGCCCACCAAGGCGACGAUCCGUAGCUGGUCUGAGAGGAUGAUCAGCCACACUGGAACUGAGACACGGUCCAGACUCCUACGGGAGGCAGCAGUGGGGAAUAUUGGACAAUGGGCGCAAGCCUGAUCCAGCCAUACCGCGUGGGUGAAGAAGGCCUUCGGGUUGUAAAGCCCUUUUGUUGGGAAAGAAAUCCAGCUGGCUAAUACCCGGUUGGGAUGACGGUACCCAAAGAAUAAGCACCGGCUAACUUCGUGCCAGCAGCCGCAGUAA
Molecule: ribosomal RNA, 505 nt
Filed under: uncultured bacterium
Lineage: Bacteria
Description: partial 16S ribosomal RNA
Rfam family: Bacterial small subunit ribosomal RNA
Source: RNAcentral